GAGUUUGAUCGUGGCUCAGAUUGAACGCUGGCGGCAUGCCUUACACAUGCAAGUCGAACGGCAGCACGGGAGCUUGCUCCUGGUGGCGAGUGGCGAACGGGUGAGUAAUGCAUCGGAACGUAUCCUGGAGUGGGGGAUAACGUAGCGAAAGUUACGCUAAUACCGCAUAUUCUGUGAGCAGGAAAGCGGGGGACCUUCGGGCCUCGCGCUCUUGGAGCGGCCGAUGUCGGAUUAGCUAGUUGGUGAGGUAAAGGCUCACCAAGGCGACGAUCCGUAGCAGGUCUGAGAGGAUGAUCUGCCACACUGGAAUUGAGACACGGUCCAGACUCCUACGGGAGGCAGCAGUGGGGAAUUUUGGACAAUGGGGGCAACCCUGAUCCAGCCAUGCCGCGUGAGUGAAGAAGGCCUCGG
RNAcentral lists this ribosomal RNA (411 nucleotides) under bacterium enrichment culture clone ALO1_GLFRUDD03HGO65. RNAcentral's name for it is "bacterial SSU rRNA". It matches the Rfam family "Bacterial small subunit ribosomal RNA", at positions 9 to 420 of the family's 1533-position model. The record is from RNAcentral.